Caenorhabditis elegans is the source of this 141-nucleotide non-coding RNA. NCBI's taxonomy places the organism in Eukaryota, Metazoa, Nematoda, Chromadorea, Rhabditida, Rhabditidae. The record is from Ensembl.
GGUAAGUGAAAAUGAGAAGAAUUGAAUGAGAGAGAUCUCUAGAGAUACUUGACAACGGCCUGUGAUCGUCUCGUUCGACACAAAACGAAGAGGCGGAGGCAUAGGGGACAGCUGUGAUUGGGACGGGAGAUGAGUCAUUGU